ACUCCAUGCAUGCCCAAUAAGACUACGGCCCUGAUUGGGAUGAUAAAACCCUUUACUUCUCUUUCCGCUUAUUAUUUCAAGCAUUAAAAUACCAAAACUAAAUACAUCAGAUUUUACAGAGAAUAAGCCAUCAGUAGCAUAUUCUGGUGCCAUAUAACCAUAUGUUCCAACCACUUUGUUUGUGCUUCCUUCAGUUUGAUCGCCUCCAAAAGUUCUAGCCAUGCCAAAAUCUGAAAUUUUU
RNAcentral lists this unclassified non-coding RNA (241 nucleotides) under Hevea brasiliensis (rubber tree). Lineage: Eukaryota; Viridiplantae; Streptophyta; Magnoliopsida; Malpighiales; Euphorbiaceae. The record is from RNAcentral.